Molecule: ribosomal RNA, 253 nt
Filed under: uncultured bacterium
Lineage: Bacteria
Description: partial 16S ribosomal RNA
Rfam family: Bacterial small subunit ribosomal RNA
Source: RNAcentral
UACGGAGGGUGCAAGCGUUAUCCGGAUUUAUUGGGUUUAAAGGGUCCGUAGGCGGGACAAUAAGUCAGAGGUGAAAUCCUGCAGCUCAACUGUAGAACUGCCUUUGAUACUGUUGUUCUUGAGUACACUUGAAGUGGGCGGAAUGUGUCAUGUAGCGGUGAAAUGCUUAGAUAUGACACAGAACACCGAUUGCGAAGGCAGCUCACUAAAUUGUAACUGACGCUGAGGGACGAAAGCGUGGGUAGCGAACAGG